RNAcentral lists this ribosomal RNA (895 nucleotides) under uncultured soil bacterium. Its description in RNAcentral is "SSU rRNA". It matches the Rfam family "Bacterial small subunit ribosomal RNA", at positions 1 to 904 of the family's 1533-position model. The record is from RNAcentral.
GUAUUUUUUCUCGGUAUGUGUCUGGCUAGGAAACGCUGGCGGCGUGCCUAACACAUGCAAGUCGAACGUCCUCUUGUUUUUCGGAACGAGAGGGAGUGGCGGACGGGUGAGUAACACAUGGGUGACCUGGCCUGAAGUGAGGGAUACCGGCGAGAAAUCGCCGACAAGCCCGCAUGGGUUCUCUGCGGUGGAGCGCAGGGAGCAAAGUUUUUCUUGCGAAAGGGAGACGCUUUGGGAUGGGCCUGUGGCCGAUUAGCUAGUUGGUGGGGUAAGAGCCCCCCAAGGCGACGAUCGGUAGCUGGUCUGAGAGGACGAACAGCCACACUGGGAUUGAGAACGGCCCAGACUCCUACGGGGGGCAGCAGUGAGGAAUUUUCCGCAAUGGACGCAAGUCUGACGGAGCAACGCCGCGUGCAGGAGGACGCUUUUCGGAGUGUAAACUGCUUUUCUCUGGGACGAGAGUGGACGGUACCAGAGGAAGAAGCCCCGGCUAACUACGUGCCAGCAGCCGCGGUAAUACGUAGGGGGCGAGCGUUGUCCGGAGUUACUGGGCGUAAAGGGCAUGCAGGCGGUCUGGCGCGUUUUGUGUGACAGCGGGUGGCUCAACUACCCGAGCAUACGAAAGACGGUUGGACUUGAGGGCUCGAGAGGGACACGGAAUUCCGGGUGGAGUGGUGAAAUGCGUAGAGAUCCGGAGGAACACCGAAAGGCGAAAGGCAGUGUCCUGGCGAGUGACUGACGCUGAGUGCGAAAGCCAGGGGAGCGAACGGGAUUAGAUACCCCGGUAGUCCUGGCCGUAAACGAUGACCACAGUGUGGGAGUAUCGACCCCUUCUGUGCCAAAGGAACCCAUUAAGUGGUCCGCUGGGGAGUACGGUCCGCAAGAUUAAACUCAA